GCGGAAACGAGUUAUCUGAACCUUCGGGGAACGAUAACGGCGUCGAGCGGCGGACGGGUGAGUAAUGCCUGGGAAAUUGCCCUGAUGUGGGGGAUAACUAUUGGAAACGAUAGCUAAUACCGCAUAAUGUCUACGGACCAAAGAGGGGGACCUUCGGGCCUCUCGCUUCAGGAUAUGCCCAGGUGGGAUUAGCUAGUUGGUGAGGUAAUGGCUCACCAAGGCGACGAUCCCUAGCUGGUCUGAGAGGAUGAUCAGCCACACUGGAACUGAGACACGGUCCAGACUCCUACGGGAGGCAGCAGUGGGGAAUAUUGCACAAUGGGCGCAAGCCUGAUGCAGCCAUGCCGCGUGUAUGAAGAAGGCCUUCGGGUUGUAAAGUACUUUCAGUCGUGAGGAAGGCAAUAAAGUU
Molecule: ribosomal RNA, 409 nt
Filed under: Vibrio sp. P1-31
Lineage: Bacteria; Pseudomonadati; Pseudomonadota; Gammaproteobacteria; Vibrionales; Vibrionaceae
Description: bacterial SSU rRNA
Rfam family: Bacterial small subunit ribosomal RNA
Source: RNAcentral